RNAcentral lists this ribosomal RNA (253 nucleotides) under uncultured bacterium. Its description in RNAcentral is "partial 16S ribosomal RNA". It matches the Rfam family "Bacterial small subunit ribosomal RNA", at positions 524 to 776 of the family's 1533-position model. The record is from RNAcentral.
UACGUAGGGGGCUAGCGUUGUCCGGAAUCAUUGGGCGUAAAGCGCGCGUAGGCGGCCCGGUAAGUCCGCUGUAAAAGUCAAAGGCUCAACCUUUGAAUGUCAGUGGAUACUGCCGGGCUUGAGUCCGGAAGAGGCGAGUGGAACUCCUGGUGUAGCGGUGAAAUGCGCAGAGAUGUGGAGGAAUACCGAUGGCGAAGGCAGCCUCCUGGGCCAACACUGACGCUCAUGCACGAAAGCGUGGGGAGCAAACAGG